This 407-nucleotide ribosomal RNA is filed under the name uncultured bacterium. Its description in RNAcentral is "partial 16S ribosomal RNA". It matches the Rfam family "Bacterial small subunit ribosomal RNA", at positions 28 to 526 of the family's 1533-position model. The record is from RNAcentral.
GACGAACGCUGGCGGCGUGCCUAAUACAUGCAAGUAGAACGCAGAUUCGAACGGGUGAGUAACGCGUAGGUAACUUCCCUAUUGCGGGGGAUAACUUUUGGAAACGAUAGCUAAUACCGCAUACUGUGGGAUGGACCUGCGGUGUAUGAGCUAGUUGGAUGGGUUAAGGCUCACCAAGGCGCCGAUACAUAGCCGACCUGGGAGGGGGAACGGCCAACAUGGGAAUGGUAAAAGGGCCCAGUACCUAGGGGAGGGAGCAGUAGGGAAACAUCGCCAAAGGAGCGAAGUCUGAACGAGCAACGCCGCGUGGGUGAAGAAGGGUUUCGGAUCGUUAAGCUAUGUUGUUAGAGAAGCGUUACCUGAACAGAAAGGGACGGCUAACUACGUGCCAGCAGCCGCGGUAAUUC